GGCAAGUCGACCAAAGGCGAAAGCAGUCAUCAAGGGCAUACCCGUUGAUCAAGAGCGAAAGUUAAGGGCUCGAAGACGAUCAGAUACCGUCGUAGUCUUAACUAUAAAUGAUACUGACCAGGGAUGUGACUCUGUCCAUUCCGACUCCUUACGGACCUUAGAGAAAUCAAAGUCUUUGAGUUCUGGGGGGAGUAUGGUCGCAAGGCUGAAACUUAAAGGAAUUGACGGAAGGGCACACAAAGAGUGGAACCUGCGGCUUAAUAGCUAGGCCGCAAAAGUCGACUAAAGCACACGACACUGAAAGGAGUAAUGGGGCAAGGUGGAGUGUGCUUUGGUUCGGCUAGUUGACCCACCAACAAGGUUGAGAGGUGGGCAGCAAGACAACCUGGUACGAGGGAACUCUGGGGUCAACGGCUUGUAAGGGCCUAUACCCAGACAAUCUCGUGGCGAGCUGCUGGUGGGUAACUGCUGGAUUGGCCGUCGUAACGCGCGGAAAGGUGUCGGGCAGUCCCCAGCAAUGGGGGUUGCCUUAAGGAACGUGCUACUCCCACCCGUGAGGGUGCUCUGAAGUAAGGUCUCAAUCACCCCAGAUCAGAGGACUGAUGAUCCCUAUAGGAAAUGAUAGGAAGAGUUGGUACCAAGGUAAUUUGACUCAACACGGGAAAACUCACCAGGUCCAGAUACACGUAUGAAAGACAAGCUGAUAGACUUUUCUCAAUGAUGUAAGUGGUGGUGCAUGGUCGUUCUUAGUUCGUGGAUUGAUUUGUCUGGUCUAUUCCGAUAACGAGCGAGACCCCUUCGUUCCUACUAGGGGCGGCAGCCCGGCUUACCAUGCCUUCGCGGGUGAGGUCUGCUAGCAGCCGCCUAAGAAUCACUUCUUAGACGUAUCAGGGCCGAUAAGGUCCUUGAAAUGGGUUAAUAACAGGUCAGUCAUGCCCUUAGAUGUUCUGGGCCGCACGCGCGUUACAAUGGUAAACAUUAGAACGUGCUCCUCCGGGGCUUCUCCACUGCCGACGGGCAGUGGUAACCCCUAGUCUCUUCCUUGACUGGGACAGACUAUUGCAAUUAUUGGUCUCCAA
This 1079-nucleotide ribosomal RNA is filed under the name Didymium floccosum. Its description in RNAcentral is "SSU rRNA". It matches the Rfam family "Eukaryotic small subunit ribosomal RNA", at positions 929 to 1603 of the family's 1831-position model. Lineage: Eukaryota; Evosea; Eumycetozoa; Physariida; Didymiaceae. The record is from RNAcentral.